This is a long non-coding RNA of Neofelis nebulosa (Clouded leopard), 2952 nucleotides long. RefSeq lists it as uncharacterized. The record is from RefSeq and is a predicted model, not a curated record. NCBI's taxonomy places the organism in Eukaryota, Metazoa, Chordata, Mammalia, Carnivora, Felidae. The transcript has 2 exons.
AUGGGGGAGGGGCAGAGAGAGAGGGAGAGAGAGAAGGAGACACAGAAUCCAAAGCAGGCUCCGGGCUCUGAGCUGUCUUCGCGGAGCCCGAUGCCCAGCUCGGACCCAUGAACCGCGAGAUCAUGACCUGAGCGGAAGUUGGAUGGCCGCUCCCUGGCGAGCCUCCCCCACCGGCUCCCGGGGUCACGUGGUCUGCUCCCGGGGUCACGUGGUCCGCUCCCGGAAGAAAGCGAGGGCGUGAGAGGCUGUGUGCACCAGAGGUUUGCGGUUUAGCUCUUUUCAUUCCUCCCGUGUUGUCGCUGUUUCGAACACUUCGUGUGGCUUUGGAGGCAAUGGCUUGAGCCUUAAUAAGAUACAGAGAAAUCGGAGGCAAGGAGGCCUGGUGGUAAAUAUGGAGCUUUUAUUUGGCGCCGCAGGUGUUCCUCGGUCCUGCCUGCUCCCGGGGCAGGCAUGCCUGUGGGGCCGAGAUGACCUGGAGGGGGGAUGGCCAGAGAGUUGUGCUUGGAGCCCAGCUGCGGAAUAACACUUGGAAACAUAAAACCCAAGGUGGAAAGUGAGAAUCUCAAGAAACAGAAAAACAAAUCCCCGACUCACCCACCGCCGCCUGAAUGAAGGAGGAGUCGACAGAGGACACGGCUGUAGGAUUGUAAGUGGUCGGCAAGCCCUGCUGGAAGAUGGGAUUCACCCAGUUGGUUCCCCCCAGAGACAGGCAUUUGGGCACUUGUCUGGGUCUCCUCAGGAGGCACGGGUUCCCAGGGGGGUUUGAUUCCAGCUGAAGCCUCCCCAGUUCUCAGGUGACAGGUGUUUGACCUACACCUCUUGAAAGCCCGCUUCUGGCCUUGUGACUCUGUCAGGGUCUCUGGUAUCCUGUGGGCAGCCUGGCGGCUAGCCUUGGGGAUACAGUGGCUAACAGUGGGCUCUGCCCUCCUACAAUUCUCAGUUGGAGGGAGAGCCAGAAAAAUGAGCAGGCAGGUGGACAGACAGGGGAGCCUCACCUCGAGGAAGCCUCUCCCUGCGAAAGCAUUAUACCCGUAGAAAUCUGAAAGAGGAGUAGAAUUUAUCCAGGUGUUGGAGAUGGUGGGGGUGAGGGGGGAUUCUGGGCUGAAGGGAAAGCAUGCGCAAAGGUCAGGAAGUAAGAAAGAGGAUGUUGUAUUUGCAUGGUGGGCAUGACCCCUAGGAGAGAGCUUUCUAGCAACAAACGUUAGUUGAGUGCCACUACGUGCUUCGGUAAUAGUGAGCCAGUCCACAGAAUGGGUUGUGCCACUCUCCAGUACCUGCUUUUCCAAUGGUAGACCCUUACUUCUCUGUCCUCCUGCUUCUUCCUCAUACAGCUCAUACAUCGACUGGCUCCCUUCCUUGGGUUUAUUCCAUGCAUUAGCGGAAUACAAAUAACAUUGGAAGAAGCAAGAAAGAUGGACAUGAAUUUCACUUUCAAGAGGUUGCCCAAGAACAAGCAGUUGGUCGAUGAGAUGGCUCCAUAGAGCCUCCAAAUGAGAUGGGUUGGAAAAGGAGACAAACACCACGGGCCUGAUGACUUAAACAUCGAUGCGCCCUGAGCAAACAGGAGGGAAAGAGCGGCCGACACCUGCUUGGUAAUCAGCUUUGUCAUUCAUGCAGAUAUUGUGAGGACAAUUCCUUGCCGAAGCCUGGAAAAUCUUAGCUUUGUUCGGUGCAAGGCAACAGACAGGCCCUGUUUCCAGGCGCAGCUCUUGCUUCAGCAAUCAAGAGUGGCCACGAGUAACUCUGGACCUACCUACCUGUGGAUCUCCUUGACCUUCGCCAACACUUCUGCCUCCCCCCCUGCCUCUUCUUCCCCCAGUGUUGGGACUCCUGUCAAAUCCUGUAUUUAAAACGAGAAUCCUGGAAAAGUUGGUCAUUGCCAGCACAUAAUGACAGGUUGGCUAAUUGAUAGUGUGCCUUCAAAAAUGGGAGUAGGACAAACAAGGCAGCUAAUUUUGAUAAUGAACAGAUUCGAGGCAAACAGGCGACAGCGUCCUUUGCAUAUGGUUCCACACCAGCCGUGUGUUUGUUUGGAUUCUAUGUUAAUUUUAGAAACUGUAAAACACCACAUGCCAAAUUGGUUGAUUGAAAUAAUGCUACUUCCCAGAGGCUGACAAUCUGUUGUUUCUUGCAGGAGGCAAGAGGUUACCCGAUGAGUGUUGACUUAGUUGCAGGCAAGAGUCUCAUGGAGAAUAGAGACAGUUGUCCGGGUAAUUCACUGCCUCGGUGAACUGGAUGCUUGGAGUAUUUUGAUGCUGCUUUAUGUCUGUCUGUGUAUCCCUCGAUUCAUGCAUGUGUGCUUCUGUUUGUUGUGUAAUUGGUUCGAUUCCCUUUGCCAGUAUAGACCUUGACUCUAUUUUGAUCUGGAACAUUGCCUUUUUUUUUUUUUAAUGUUCAUUUAUUUUUGAGAGAGAGAGACAGAGACAGAGCUCAAACAGCGAAUGGGGCAGAGAUCGAGGGAGACACAGAAACCAAAGCAGGCUCCAGGAUCUGAGCUGUCAGCACAGAGCCUGAUGCGGGACUCGAACCCAUGAACCGUGAGAUCAUGACCUGAGCUGAAGUCGGACGCUUAACCAACUGAGCCACCCAGGUGCCCCUGGAACAUUGCCUUUUUAGUCAAAGUUAUACAGAGUAUUUUUCCUAAAGGCAUGUCAGGGAAGUUGGUCAUCCUAAAUAAUCUAUAAAUAUUUAUUCCUGAAAGGGAAUUGAUUUUUCGGACUUUUAAAACCCAACAACAUAUAAGUUGCUGUGUUUUAAAAUGAAUGUAUGUAAGGGAGAAAGAAAGGAAGAGAGGUGGUUUGGUUUGUGAUUUUAAAUUUAGACAAACUGAAGAAACAUACUCUUUCUUUAAAUAAAUAAAUACUGUCUGCUAAAUUACAUUGUUGAAUUUUAAAUCCUGUGAUAAAGUGGUACUUAACAGGACUAUAAACAAUAAAGAUAAACAUUUCUGCU